Dermacentor silvarum is the source of this 1818-nucleotide long non-coding RNA. RefSeq lists it as uncharacterized. The record is from RefSeq and is a predicted model, not a curated record. The transcript has 3 exons. Lineage: Eukaryota; Metazoa; Arthropoda; Arachnida; Ixodida; Ixodidae.
CCCCCCCCUUUUUUUUCUAAGAAUGCUUUUUAAAAAAUUGAUAAUUAAAAUUGCUUUUUAGGCCACUUAACCUGGAUGAGCAGCAAGUGGUAUGGAGUACCUACAAACAAAACACCACACUGAAAUAUCUUGUUGUUGUUAAUCCACACGGUGCUGUAAUGUUUAUUUCAAAAACAUCUGGAGGAAGAGUGUCUGACAAAGAACUGACAUUGUCAAGUGGUUCGUGACAAUCCCACUUGAAAAUUCCAUCGGGACUGCAACCCAGAAGUGGGUACUUGAGGUUUAUCAUAAGCCCGCAGUCCUCUAUACGUGCAUUCACAUGCUGCUGCCGCAAAUGGGCGAGGCUUCACCCACUAGCUUGGCAAGUCAAUUGGAGCAGCACUGCUAGUAUUGACUUGCAUCCAGAAAUCAAUGGCGAAGCACACUGCCACAACAUGACUACAGGCCCGCCCCAACCUGGACCUGCAGGGAAUAUCAUUAGAAUCCACCAUGAACCAUUUUCCAGCUUUCGACUUGCUACUAGAGCGGCUCGUAACAUAAAUGAAAACAGAAGUGGCCAAACACAAUUAUAGGUUUCACUGCUUUCUGUGGUACAGACAAGCAAACAAAGCCAAGGAAAGCAUAGCAGGUUUUUACUGAAGUGUAUUAAUUACGAUGCAAAGAGAAAUAAAAGUGGCUUCACACGACUGUGUUAACAAAAAGAAGCCAGUUGAUUGAUUCCCUUUCCUUCGGUCACUAGGUGUUAUUUUGAUUUACAUACUCUAGUUAAUCUAUAUUGUCACAAGCCAUGGCAAAGACAAAGACGUUGUAGUGGGGCUGGGUCAGAGGCUCUUCUGUCAGACUGAAACCUGCUGGAACCUGUGCGCUUUGUGCAGUCUUGACUGGUAAUUAAAUACUCCCCGUAACAAUAUUGUGCAUCCAUUCAUAGCCAUCUUAACUAUUGCAUAACUUCCUGGGGUCAAACCUAGCACUCCCAUCUUUCUUCCUUACAAUAUGUCCAAAAUCAAGCAAUCCGAAUUAUUACUAAGAGUAUUCGCCGAUCACAUGUUACCAAACUGUGCUGCGAUCUUGACAUAUUCUGCAUUACUAAUCUUGUGAAAUUUGAUGUUUACAUACUUGUAUAUCGAACAAUUACAGACCAUCACCUUUUUAAACUUGUUUUCAUGCAAGGACUUACCAAUACAAAUAAUAUACGUUUUCCAUUUUUUAAAUUGUGGAAUUCCUUGCCUCAUAAUAUUAAAAAUCCUCUUUCUGUUUCAUCCAAGGGGCCCACGAUGCCGCGGCCAGGUACUCCCUGCCUGUCCCAACGUGGGAGCGGCCCGCAGGGGGGUCGGGGUAAAACCCGGCUCUCCUCCCUCGGUCUUUAAUAAAGUUAUUUAUCUAUCUAUCUAUUUCUGUUUCAUCAUUUAAACCUUUGCUUCAUGAUUUUAUUUGUAACCAAUAACACAAAUAGACUAGUGAAAUAACCUGACCUUUAUCGUUAUGUGCUGAAUAUUGACUACGUAUUUAUUUAUAUUGACUAGAAUUGUUUAAUCACUGAAUUGAUUGUACUUGUUUAUUUGUUGUAUUCAUAGUUGUGUUACUGCUCGUAUUUUAUUGCAACAGGUUUUUGGUUAUUAUUUUUUCUGCUGUCUAGUAGUUUUACAUUUCAUGUAACAUAUUAUAGGAGGUCCCCCUACAUUGUUUUCACAAUGGAACCUCCUUCUGCAUGAUAUUAUACCCACUACUCUACAUGUAUUUUACCACAAUAAACUGCUAACUGUAUGGUAUGAGCAAUAAUCUGGAAGAGACAUUACUCUGCCAUGCAUGUACACCUGG